UCCAUGUACACGAGCAGAUCUAGGAUUAGAAGUAUGUCAUAACUUGAAGACAACUCAAAAUUUAUUUUUAGGCUGCGUGAAUCUUUCAAGGUUCUGGAUUUCAGAAACAAACCCCACUGUAGCUCGUGUAAGCAAAAAAAAAAAGAAUUUUAUUAAAGGUUUGAAGUAGUUCUCAGAAUCUCAAUAAGGGCCAGAGAAUCAACCAUAGAUGCUCUGAGACAAGGAGCCACAUGCUCCUGGGGAUGGCUCCAGGGGACACCCCACUGUCGGUAGGUACAGACAGCCCAGCUCUUGCCCCCACUGGUGGACACCAGAAGCUGCUGCUAGAACCUCUGGCCACCGUCUCUGCAAGUUGCCACCUCUCCCUCUCCCUGCCACAACGGAUUCCUUGAGGUACCUCGCUCACUUCCGCAUGGAGGUCUCAGUCAGUUGGGACUGAUUGGCAGAACCUAGACCCUAUAUCCCCAAAUCUAACAUGUCAAGAAAAUUUCUGAAUUCUCGGGAGCACAAACUCUUUGAAAUUAGUACAUUCUCCAAAUAUAAAAUGGGUCCAAAUGUAAUGGAUGUCCAAAAAGUACGACAGAGGUCCCCUUCAGUGAAGUAGUUUAACCUCAGCCUCCCCCAGGCGCCUGGAGAGACGGAGUCACACCUUUCCAGGCUAAGGAUGCAACAGUGAGCAGAACAAAGAUCAUCCUUUAUGGAGCUUGCGUUUUAAUAGCAGAGAGCUUCCAAAGUGAAGUAACAGAUUAGCUACAGAUGGACAAGAAUCAGAUUGAUAUUAGACUUCUCGGUGGCAAUACUGGAUAGAAGAGACAACAGAAUGAUAUCUUCAAUGUUCUGAGGAAAAUUUCUUUCUAUGUAGUUUUCUCUUGAGGCAAACUCUCCCUCAGAUGGGAGCAAAUAAAAGCGUUUUUCGACAUGCAUGGGUAUGAAAGUCAACCUUCCACGAGUCCUCUCUGAAAGAGUUACUAAUUUCAAACAUCCCCUUUAUCAAACACCGUUUCAGUUUAUUUUUAGGUAUUUUCUUUUUUGCUAUUGCAAUUUGGGUCUUUAUUUCCAUUACGUUUUCUUUCUUUUUUUAUUGAAGUAUAAUUUACAUAUAUCCAUUAUGUUUCUCACAGGUUGUUGUUUGUCUAGACAAAGGCAGUUGAUUUUUACACACUGAUUUUGUAUCCAGCCAUCUCAUAAGUUCUCAUAUUGUUUGCAAUAGAUUUGUAACUGAGUUUCUUGGGUUUCCCAGGUAUACAGUUAUCUGUAAAUAGAAAUAAAU
RNAcentral lists this long non-coding RNA (1270 nucleotides) under Equus caballus (horse). RNAcentral's name for it is "lncRNA (ENSECAG00000055099.1)". Lineage: Eukaryota; Metazoa; Chordata; Mammalia; Perissodactyla; Equidae. The record is from RNAcentral.